UACGUAGGGUGCAAGCGUUAUCCGGAAUUAUUGGGCGUAAAGAGCUCGUAGGCGGUCUGUUGCGUCGGCUGUGAAAACCCGGGGCUCAACUCCGGGCCUGCAGCCGAUACGGGCAGACUAGAGUUCGGCAGGGGAGACUGGAAUUCCUGGUGUAGCGGUGAAAUGCGCAGAUAUCAGGAAGAACACCCGUGGCGAAGGCGGCUCUCUGGGACGGUACUGACGCUGAGACGCGAAAGCGUGGGGAGCGAACAGG
Molecule: ribosomal RNA, 253 nt
Filed under: uncultured bacterium
Lineage: Bacteria
Description: partial 16S ribosomal RNA
Rfam family: Bacterial small subunit ribosomal RNA
Source: RNAcentral